This is a long non-coding RNA of Caretta caretta (loggerhead turtle), 1579 nucleotides long. RefSeq lists it as uncharacterized. The record is from RefSeq and is a predicted model, not a curated record. Lineage: Eukaryota; Metazoa; Chordata; Testudines; Cheloniidae.
GCUCUGCCCCCGGCCCCUCACUCCGCCUCCCCGGCUGCCCGGCCCGGGGCUCCGCGGACGCUCCGCGCAGGGCGCCCCGGAGCGGGGCCCGGGCUGGACGGCCCAUCCCGGCCCGCUGCCAGGGGGCGUGCGGCGGCAGGCUGCCUGGUACCACACUGGUGCUUUGAACUGAAGUCCUGAAACUUGAGGUAUCCUGGAAGCAAAGCACAGUCUUAUUGUUUCAUGAAUGAUGACAAAGCUAAUAAAGGGGACACUUCCUGAGCAUCGUUGGGGAACUGAUAGCCUGGAUGUGACCAGGGUCAUUAACCCUCUGUUGGUCAUUCAUUCCUAGUAAAUGCCUUGUGUCAAGCUGCUGGUUGUUGCUUAUAAGUCUCAAUUGGAAAAUUAAAAAAUAUUGGGUCUUUAAUUAUUUGAUGCAGUUUUAUUACUCUAGUUAUAAAAUAAGUAAAUGUAAGAUCUGCCUCUCGGGUGCAAAAAGCCCACACCUAGCAGAGCAGAGUUUACUUAAAUUGUGUAUGUCUGUCAGUAUUAUAAGUGGGUGGAUAGGGAGCUGGUGGUCAGAUACCGUGGUGAUGAAAGCCCUAUAAAUAUCCACUAGAGAUAGUGUUUAAUCCCAGACAAAUUUAAAACUCUCAUGCAUCCACCUAUGCAUGAGAGAAACAAAUAUUCCCAGACAGACACAAAACAUUUAGGGGAAGGGGAAUGUCAAAGCAGGCUGCCAAAAUAGCUGCAGUAUGAGUGUUGUGUAUGCAAGCCAGGAGGAUUGCUUGAAUCAUCCUCUGCUCUCAAGAUUCCAUUCAUCUCCUAAUGAUGCAUCCUAAAGCCACUGAAGGAGCUGUUAUGCAUCUUGUCAGAGCUAUUAGUUGGCAGAUCUUUGACAUGAUACAUCGUAAUGGCUAGCCAUACAUCCUGUCAGCCCGCAGCUUGCAAUAUUAUUGUGGUAAAACAAAGGGGUGGGCUACAAACCUUGCAAGAAAGCAGAAGCUAAUUUUCUGUGUUACAAUGCUAUGUGACGAACAAGUUACCCAUGUUUACGUUAUUGUGCAGAUGUAUUUUUUAACUGUGUAGGCUGCCUGAUCGCUCUUUAAAAUGCAGCCUUUCUUAGAGGCUCAAAAUGGUCUGCCCAAAUACUGAUGACUUUUGCCAACUUGUAGAAAUCGCUAGAAGGAUUUUAAACCUCACCCUCUGGAAACUAGCCCCUGUCUCUGAUGGGCUUCCCAGUGCGUGUUUGUAGAGCCCUGCAAAUCAGCAGAUAUUCACAGACCAUUUUUUGCAGAUUGCUGCUCAGAUGAGGAUACAAAUUUUGUAUCUUCAUAUCUGUUUACUGUAUCUACUUCAUUCAGUUCUUAAGGUGUGUAUUCUGUGAUUUGUACAAUGCUGAGUGUCUUGUUGCUGCUUAACAAAAAGGCUUCUGGACUGAAAAUGUGGAUACUGACUGUGUAUCCUGGAUUUCCCCAUGAGCAGGGAUCUGAUUCCCCAAACUUCAGUUUUCUUCCACUCACAUUGUCCCUCCUCUUAAACUUCUUCACAUCUUUAUUUAGAUCUAAACUAUGACUGAAGUAAACUAUAUUUUCUGAUU